Molecule: unclassified non-coding RNA, 96 nt
Organism: Microcebus murinus (gray mouse lemur)
Lineage: Eukaryota; Metazoa; Chordata; Mammalia; Primates; Cheirogaleidae
Rfam family: Y RNA
About the family: Y RNAs are components of the Ro ribonucleoprotein particle (Ro RNP), in association with Ro60 and La proteins. The Y RNAs and Ro60 and La proteins are well conserved, but the function of the Ro RNP is not known.
Source: Ensembl
GGCUGGUCCAAUGGUAGUGGGUUAUCAGAACUCAUUGACAUUAGUGUCACUAAAGUUGAUGUAUAACCCCCCAAUGCUAAAUUUGACUGGCUAAAA